CGGCGUGCCUAAUACAUGCAAGUAGAACGCACAGGAUGCACCGUAGUUUACUACACCGUAUUCUGCGAGUUGCGAACGGGUGAGUAACGCGUAGGUAACCUGCCUGGUAGCGGGGGAUAACUAUUGGAAACGAUAGCUAAUACCGCAUAAGAACAUUUACUGCAUGGUAGAUGUUUAAAAGGUGCAAAUGCAUCACUACCAGAUGGACCUGCGUUGUAUUAGCUAGUAGGUGAGGUAACGGCUCACCUAGGCGACGAUACAUAGCCGACCUGAGAGGGUGAUCGGCCACACUGGGACUGAGACACGGCCCAGACUCCUACGGGAGGCAGCAGUAGGGAAUCUUCGGCAAUGGGGGGAACCCUGACCGAGCAACGCCGCGUGAGUGAAGAAGGUUUUCGGAUCGUAAAGCUCUGUUGUUAAGGAAGAACGAGUGUGAGAAUGGAAAGUUCAUACUGUGAUGGUACUUAACCAGAAAGGGACGGCUAACUACGUGCCAGCAGCCGCGGUAAUACGUAGGUCCCGAGCGUUGUCCGGAUUUAUUGGGCGUAAAGCGAGCGCAGGCGGUUAGAUAAGUCUGAAGUUAAAGGCAGUGGCUCAACCAUUGUAGGCUUUGGAAACUGUUUAACUUGAGUGCAGAAGGGGAGAGUGGAAUUCCAUGUGUAGCGGUGAAAUGCGUAGAUAUAUGGAGGAACACCGGUGGCGAAAGCGGCUCUCUGGUCUGUAACUGACGCUGAGGCUCGAAAGCGUGGGGAGCGAACAGGAUUAGAUACCCUGGUAGUCCACGCCGUAAACGAUGAGUGCUAGGUGUUAGGUCCU
RNAcentral lists this ribosomal RNA (816 nucleotides) under uncultured Streptococcus sp. RNAcentral's name for it is "bacterial SSU rRNA". It matches the Rfam family "Bacterial small subunit ribosomal RNA", at positions 40 to 831 of the family's 1533-position model. Lineage: Bacteria; Bacillati; Bacillota; Bacilli; Lactobacillales; Streptococcaceae. The record is from RNAcentral.